ACGCACGCUGGCGGCGUGCUUCACACCUGCCAGUCGAACGGUGAACGAGGGAGCUUGCUCCCUCCGGAUCAGUGGCGAACGGGUGAGUAACACGUGAGCAAUCUGCCCCGAACUCUGGGAUAAGCGUUGGAAACGACGUCUAAUACCGGAUACGACGCGGGAGGGCAUCCUCUCCGCGUGGAAAGAACUUCGGUUCGGGAUGAGCUCGCGGCCUAUCAGCUUGUUGGUGAGGUAACGGCUCACCAAGGCGACGACGGGUAGCCGGCCUGAGAGGGUGACCGGCCACACUGGGACUGAGACACGGCCCAGACUCCUACGGGAGGCAGCAGUGGGGAAUAUUGCACAAUGGGCGCAAGCCUGAUGCAGCAACGCCGCGUGAGGGACGACGGCCUUCGGGUUGUAAACCUCUUUUAGCAGGGAAGAAGCGAAAGUGACGGUACCUGCAGAAAAAGCACCGGCUAACUACGUG
This 469-nucleotide ribosomal RNA is filed under the name uncultured bacterium. RNAcentral describes it as "partial 16S ribosomal RNA". It matches the Rfam family "Bacterial small subunit ribosomal RNA", at positions 29 to 507 of the family's 1533-position model. The record is from RNAcentral.